GGUCGGAUGAUUAUUGCGAAUUAGUUAUUUUUAUACUUAAUUUGCGAUAACAUUCAAGACCAA
This 63-nucleotide microRNA precursor is filed under the name Strongyloides ratti. RNAcentral's name for it is "microRNA str-mir-7880v precursor". The record is from miRBase by way of RNAcentral. Lineage: Eukaryota; Metazoa; Nematoda; Chromadorea; Rhabditida; Strongyloididae.